Non-coding RNA from Meleagris gallopavo (turkey), 1408 nucleotides. The record is from RefSeq and is a predicted model, not a curated record. Lineage: Eukaryota; Metazoa; Chordata; Aves; Galliformes; Phasianidae.
GUUUCCGUUGCUUUUUAUUGCUGUUGUAUUAUUGCACAUUUUCUGUAAAUGGAAGAACACAAUUGAUCUUGCUCCAUGAUAAAAUUUGUUUGUUUGUUUUAGUUCUAUAUGCCAGCAGGAAAAAAUAUACAUCUAGAUAAACUAUUUAUUUCAGACAAAAAGUGAGUUUAUAUUAGGGGAUCAGUGGAAUUGUUUCUGUGUACUAGACCUAGGUACAUAGCCAACAAAAUAAGAAAGCCACAAUUAUAACAGACUCACAGAAUGAAUCACGGAAGGACUUGGCUUGUAAGGGACCUUAAAGUCCACACAGUUCCAACCCCCUGCUGAGGGUUUGUGUCCACCCACCACAUCAGGGUCCCAUCCAGCUCUGCCUUGCAUGCCUCCAGGGAUGGGUCACCCCACAGCUUCUCUGAGCAGCAGUGCCAGUGCCUCAUUGCAUUUUAGGUGUCAGUUAAAUGUCAGUGAUUAUAGAUGUUAUGGUCUGUGGAUCCAGAAGUAUUAAGGGCUGCACAUCUGAGUACUACAGACACCUGGAUCAUCCCUCAGAGCAUUCCCAAGCUCCUGAAGUACUCUCUAGAAUGCAUAGAUUUUUAUUUUCUUAAAAAGAGUUUAAAACUCCUUAUGUAAAUAAAUAUAUAUUUAAAUAUUCUGAAUAGUCUAAAUAUUCUAAUAUUUAGUCAAUAUAUUCUAAUACUGUAAUAGACUUUGGGGAAAUGGGUAUUUUGAAACCAUCUGCAGUAAAGCACAGUUGACAUCCUCAAUUUCACCUCUGCACUAUACAAAAGUUUCACAGUGAGAAUGAAGUCUGUGUUAUAGGCAUCACAGCUGUACCACAGCUAGAGGUAGUUAGGCCUUAUUCUGUAUGCUCUGUGGUUGAGGAUUAACCCUGAGCUACUUCUGAUGGCUCUGAGGCUGUGACACAGCGGGUAAAUUCACCAUCUCACUUGGCAUAACUUUACCUAUGGAGUAAGAUAUAAUUAUGGGGGAAAGCAACGAGCCUUAAAUUAGAAAUAAUGGCCCCUGUCGGCCUGGCAGCAGCUGGAUGCUGUUGCUGACUGCGCUGUUGUGUCUGUGGGUUGGCAGGCACAGAGCAGGGAGCUGUGCUUAGAGGCGUCCCUUAUCCAGACACCUGAGGACAGUGUCUGUUCCAUAGGAAGAGAAGUGAGAGGUGUGUGUGGUCAAGGCACAGAGCAGCCCCGGUCCUCCUCCAGGGCAGGUUCCUUUGGGGGCCCUCUGUGUGGGGCUGUCAUGCAAGGAGGCCUGCGGGUUGUGCUCCUGCUUCAUGCAGUAUUUUAUUAGCUGUUGUUUGACAUAAUGCCACGUGCCUGUGUCCAAGUGCUCCGAGGAGAUCAAGAACUACAUCGAGGAACGCUCGGGAGAGGACCCACUGGUGAAAGGUGUCCCGGAG